AGAGUCUGACGGAGCACGCCGCGUGAGUGAUGAAGGCUUUCGGGUCGUAAAACUUGUUGUUAGGGAAGAACAAGUGCUAGUUGAAUAAGCUGGCACCUUGACGGUACCUAACCAGAAAGCCACGGCUACUACGUGCCAGCAGCCGCGGUAAUACGUAGGUGGCAAGCGUUAUCCGGAAUUAUUGGGCGUAAAGCGCGCGCAGGUGGUUUCUUAAGUCUGAUGUGAAAGCCCACGGCUCAACCGUGGAGGGUCAUUGGAAACUGGGAGACUUGAGUGCAGAAGAGGAAAGUGGAAUUCCAUGUGUAGGUGAAAUGCGUUGAGAUAAUGUGGGACACCAUAGUC
RNAcentral lists this ribosomal RNA (342 nucleotides) under Bacillus toyonensis. RNAcentral's name for it is "bacterial SSU rRNA". It matches the Rfam family "Bacterial small subunit ribosomal RNA", at positions 378 to 716 of the family's 1533-position model. Lineage: Bacteria; Bacillati; Bacillota; Bacilli; Caryophanales; Bacillaceae. The record is from RNAcentral.